Molecule: ribosomal RNA, 403 nt
Filed under: uncultured bacterium
Lineage: Bacteria
Description: partial 16S ribosomal RNA
Rfam family: Bacterial small subunit ribosomal RNA
Source: RNAcentral
GACGAACGCUGGCGGCGUGCCUAAUACAUGCAAGUCGAACGCAGUGGGGACGGGUGAGUAACACGUGGGUAACCUCCCAUCAGAGGGGAUAACACUUGGAAACAGGUGCUAAACCGAUACUGAUGGCUGAACCCGCGGUGCAUUAGCUAGUUGGGGAGGUAACGGCUCACCAAGGCCACGAUGACUAGCCGACCUGAUAGUGUGAUCGGCACCACUGGGACUGAGACACGGCCCAGACUCCUACGGUAGGCAGCAGUAGGGAAUCUUCGGCAAGUGACGAAAGUCUGACCGAGCAACGCCGCGUGAGUGAAGAAGUUUUUCGGAUCGUAAAACUCUGUUGUUAGAGAAGCGUUAUCUAACCAGAAAGCCACGGCUAACUACGUGCCAGCCGCCGCGGUAAUUC